CCAAUAGCGUAUAUUAAAGUUGCUGCAGUUAAAAAGCUCGUAGUUGAAUUUCGGGACCAUCAUGUCGGUCGUGCCUCGGUACGUACUGGUAUUGUUGGUUUCUCCCUUCUGACGAACCAUGAUGUCAUUUAUUUGGUGUUGUGGGGAAUCAGGACUGUUACUUUGAGAAAAUUAGAGUGUUUAAAGCAGGCUCACGCUUGAAUACAUUAGCAUGGAAUAAUGAAAUAGGACGUUUGAUUCUAUUUUGUUGGUUUCUAGGAUCGACGUAAUGAUUAAUAGGGAUAGUUGGGUGCAUUAGUAUUCAAUUGUCAGAGGUGAAAUUCUUGGAUUUAUUGAAGACUAACUACUGCGAAAGCAUUUGCCAAGGAUGUUUUCACUAAUCAAGAACGAAAGUUAGGGGAUCGAAGACGAUCAGAUACCGUCGUAGUCUUAACCAUAAACUAUGCCGACUAGGGAUCGGAUGAUGUUAAUUUUUUAAUGGCUCAUUCGGCGCCUUGCG
Molecule: ribosomal RNA, 499 nt
Filed under: uncultured Glomeromycotina
Lineage: Eukaryota; Fungi; Glomeromycota
Description: partial small subunit ribosomal RNA
Rfam family: Eukaryotic small subunit ribosomal RNA
Source: RNAcentral